Molecule: ribosomal RNA, 786 nt
Filed under: Triticum aestivum (bread wheat)
Lineage: Eukaryota; Viridiplantae; Streptophyta; Magnoliopsida; Poales; Poaceae
Description: partial small subunit ribosomal RNA
Source: RNAcentral
AUGAGGAGGAUAGUUACUCUAAGCUACAAUCACUUGCCAUCUCAUCUCAAGUCAUGCUUUUUGUAUCUAAGCAUCUUUCCUGAGGAUUUUGAGAUCAAAAGGAGAUGUCUGAUAGAGAGAUGGAUAGCAGAGAGGUUUGUUAGAGCCAGAGGUGGAGUAAAUAUCGAGGAUGCUGGAAUAAGUUAUUUCACCGAGCUAAUCAACCGAAGCAUGAUUCAACCCUCAAAAGUGAGCAUAGAAGGAGUUGUUAAGAGCUGUCGAGUCCAUGAUAUUGUGCGUGAUGUCAUGAUCUCAAUUUCUAGAGAUGAAAAUUUCGUGUACUUGGCACAAGAUAAUGUGACUAGUGUCACAGAGGAGGCCUUUCGCCAUGUAGCAUACCAUGGUAGAGAGUCCCAAAAUAUAGGCAUGGACUGGAGCCAUGUCCGGUCAUUAACCAUGUUUGGUGGGAGACCAUUGGAGCCAUCAUCUUCAGUUUGUUCACCUGAUAUGAGAAUGCUUUGAGCCUUGGAUCUAGAGAAUGCACAGUUUCAAGUCACACAAAAGGAUAUAAGCAACAUAGGAUUGCUGCGCCACCUGAAGUAUCUGAAUUUUUGUGAUCCUAAAGCACAUUACAUUUAUAAACUUCCUAGAUCCAUAGGAAAAUUACAAGGCUUGCGUACUUUGAACAUAAGAAACAGUUAUAUUACAGAACUGCCAACCAAGAUCAGUAAACUCAAGAGUCUACAUAGUCUCCGUUGUACCAGGAAUCAUUUCUAUUACUGGUUUGACCUGGCUAACCCCAUGUGA